This 253-nucleotide ribosomal RNA is filed under the name uncultured bacterium. RNAcentral's name for it is "partial 16S ribosomal RNA". It matches the Rfam family "Bacterial small subunit ribosomal RNA", at positions 524 to 776 of the family's 1533-position model. The record is from RNAcentral.
UACGUAGGUGGCAAGCGUUAUCCGGAAUUAUUGGGCGUAAAGCGCGCGCAGGCGGUUUCUUAAGUCUGAUGUGAAAGCCCACGGCUCAACCGUGGAGGGUCAUUGGAAACUGGGGAACUUGAGUGCAGAAGAGAAAAGCGGAAUUCCACGUGUAGCGGUGAAAUGCGUAGAGAUGUGGAGGAACACCAGUGGCGAAGGCGGCUUCCUGGACCGACACUGACGCUGAGGCGCGAAAGCUAGGGGAGCAAACGGG